GUGCUCACUUUGGCAUCACAUAUAUUAAAAUUGAAUGAUACAGAGACUAGCAUGGACCCUGCACAAAGAUGACAUGCAAACUCAUGAAGCAUUCCACAUUUUU
Small nuclear RNA from Gorilla gorilla gorilla (western lowland gorilla), 103 nucleotides. Lineage: Eukaryota; Metazoa; Chordata; Mammalia; Primates; Hominidae. The record is from Ensembl.